CGGGUGGCUGCAGCAGUGAGGAAUAUUGGGCAAUGGAGGCAACUCUGACCCAGCCAUGCCGCGUGCAGGAAGACGGCCCUCUGGGUUGUAAACUGCUUUUGUUUGGGAAUAAACCCUUCUACGUGUAGAAGGCUGAAGGUACCUUACGAAUAAGGAUCGGCUAACUCCGUGCCAGCAGCCGCGGUAAUACGGAGGAUCCAAGCGUUAUCCGGAUUUAUUGGGUUUAAAGGGUCCGUAGGCGGAUCUUUAAGUCAGUGGUGAAAGCCCACAGCUCAACUGUGGAACUGCCAUUGAUACUGGAGAUCUUGAGUGUAGUAGAAGUAGGCGGAAUAGGGCAUGUAGCGGUGAAAUGCAUAGAUAUGCCCUAGAACACCGAUUGCGAAGGCAGCUUACUAUGUUACAACUGACGCUGAGGGACGAAAGCGUGGGGAGCAAACAGGAUUAGAUACCUAGUAGUC
RNAcentral lists this ribosomal RNA (458 nucleotides) under uncultured bacterium. Its description in RNAcentral is "partial 16S ribosomal RNA". It matches the Rfam family "Bacterial small subunit ribosomal RNA", at positions 342 to 795 of the family's 1533-position model. The record is from RNAcentral.